UUUUUUUUUUUUUUUUUUGUAGAUUUGAUUACAUAGAGCUUGAAGCAGUUGAAAUAACCCUGCAGCAGUUGUACGCCUCAUUUUUUUGUUUUUUUGUUUUAAAGUGUGCUCUACAUUUUCAGACGGGGAACGACAAGUGGCUUUUUUUUAAACCUCGUGGGAGGUGUCGCCAGUUUCCUUUCUCAAGUGCCAUCUCCCUUGUCAAACUGGCCCUCUCUAAGGCUUCACUGAAGUGUAUGCCCAGGGAUCGUAUCUGAGUUCUAAGUCUCAUGUCAUAGGUCAUGCCCAUCAAGGGGUUGCCAAGAAACUUGGCACUUUACAGGAUUCAGGCAGCAGAAUCUUCAAUUCACAGCCAGGGCUGGCCUUGAAACGCAUUAAGCUAAGUCCCGGUGGGGGCUGAGAUGGACCAUUGCCAAGAAAGCCAUCUGUAAAGCCCACAAAGUGCCACAAUAUAGAAAAAAGAAGGAAACAAUGAUAGUGUCAACAAAGCAAAAUAAAUAAUACAAGGCAAUCAUGACACUGUAUUGGAGCAAUCUGCCAGUGCAGAUGAAGUAGAUGAAGACAUGCAUGGAAAAAAUUCCUACACUGAUUAUUCUUUUUUCAUCUAAAAAAAGGUGGAUAAGCAGUUCUCACUGGCAUUACCCAUAAAACUCGAGCAAUAAAAAUCACAACUUUACGGUCCGACCAAAGUUAAGCAGAUUUAUGUACCAAGUUUAAUAUAUGUAUUUUUUUUUUAUCACUGCGGAGAUGAUUAAUGAUUACAGAAAAAACUACAAUGGUGACAAUAAAGCAAAAGUGUGUUAGAGAUGAAAAACCUCCAAAGAAAAAAUGGAAUAAUUGCUGUUUGAGGAGUACCAAUCAAUAAGCGGGAGAACAGAAAACAGCUUUUGGCGGUAUGACGAAAGGUCCUGCGACUUCGAAGUGAUGUCAAUGCGGCAGUGUUCACAGACACUCUAAAAAUGCUGAACCAUAGAUUCAAUUGGAGACCAACGGAUGGAUUGAUGAACAAUGAAUACAGUGUACCAAAACAACCGGUUUCUAAACCAUGACUUGAGUUCAGUUCUGAGAUGGAAGAUUCUGUUUAUUUUUUCUAUCUCAAGAAUAGGCUCAGGGCCUAUACUUAUAGUCUUGCAGAUCCUCCUCUGGCCAGAGU
Molecule: long non-coding RNA, 1153 nt
Filed under: Cimex lectularius (bed bug)
Lineage: Eukaryota; Metazoa; Arthropoda; Insecta; Hemiptera; Cimicidae
Description: uncharacterized LOC106663148, transcript variant X1
Source: RNAcentral